UAAUAAUAAAAAAUUAAUUCUCUGUCAUGGAGUGGAAAAUGCACUGUUGUGCUCUCUUGUGAUCACAUGGAGGUUUACUGCCCUAAGAUCCUGAGAUAUUGUCCAGAGUCAAUUGACCUCUCCUUGAAAUGGGUAAGAGUCUGAAACUUCUAUAUAUGCGUGCAUUCUAUUUGCAGAGGAGAUGCAGCUGUAGAUGUGCAGUACUCAUGACUCUAGGGAUUAUAGAUUUAUAUCCUAAUGGUGAUGAAAGAGAAUUUUAACUAGUAGCUGAUAGUGUAUUUUUAUCACUGGUUUUUAAACUUACUUUUAGCAGUAAUGGCUUAGAUCAAUAAUCUAUUGAUAGCUUAUUCAAGCUGAAGGUUUCAAUUCAUCCUCGCCAAACAAGGUAUUUCCAUUGUUCAUUAUUACAUGCAGCUUCCAUUUGAACUCUGAACUCAUAAAUCAUAAAUGAAUGUGAAGUGUUCAUUUCUCUCUUUCAGCACUACCUUUAUCUAAUAUUUGCUGACAGGGCUCAUUGUAACUUAUUUCUGAGUGCAGUCAGGCCUUGUUUUAUGAACAGAAUUCAUUGUUGGAAAGGAUUCUAUAAAUAGAACUUAAGGGGCACCAAAAUGAGAAAUUCUACCUCAUUAGCAUCUUUACUGGAAAAAUCUGAUCUAAUACACAGGAAUUUUGAGCUGAUGAAACACAAGCAAAUCUCAAAAUAGAUUCUAAAGGGUUAUGCUGUGAAUGGACUAUUAGUAUGUUACUGUUUAGGGUGAUAGAAAGAGAAAAGAGAUUCAAGGUAGUAUAUAUUAGAAUAAGAGGAGAAAAAAACAACAUUGAUAUUACAAAGAAGUAUGUAUACAGUGGGUUAUUUUCUGGUAUUUUGAGUUGUCUUCUUCAGGUGAGGCUUGUAUGAAAUCAAAAUCCUGUAACAAAAUAGCCCUGCUUAUCUUCCUCAUAUGUAAGAGACAGAGAUGUCUCCUCUAGCAAUGCUAGGUAGUGAAGUGGUAAAGCAAAUUUAUGGAGAAGUGAUUCUGUUUCAGCAUCUCAAGGAGGAUUACUAAUGGAAAAUAUAUUAAUCCUCUGAACUAUCUAUUCUCAUGGAAGACUAAAGGCUUAUUGCAUCAGCCUAGAAGUAUGUCCUCUGGGGACAACGUGAGGAUCUGUGCACAAGUUCUGUGUUGAAUGUGUCUGGCACAUAGUGCCUGCCAGAAGUUGAAAGUCUGGUGCUAGGGCAUGCAUGAAGACUCUGUCCUAACUCUUCCCAUGCUGGGUGACUUCAAAUGUGGCUGAAUAAUUAAUUAAUUAAGUCAGGAUAUUAUUUCAUGAUAACAAAACUAACUUAUUUCUUCACUUCCUCUUUCCCCAGUGAGAAACAAAGUAUACUGACUAUGCAGAGAGAGAUCCUAUUGUCUUGAGACACAGUUUCAGAUACAUUUCUCUGAAGCAACUAUCUAUAGCACAGUAUUACUGUCGUGGAUGGGACCAUAACGUGAAGUGGUGGCCUGGAUAAAAGCCAGUUGGUGGACAUGAAGACAAGGCUGAAUCUUAACUCGCAGUGUGUGGUCUCUGUGAGGCAUUACAUAUAACAGUUCCAUUGAGCAUCAAAUCAUCAGACCCUCAAGAACCUCUUGAAGUGACAAGCCUUUAAUAUCUCAGCAGCAAUGUGGAAAACCUCAUGCGAUAGCACAGUCUCCGCUUUCUAGGUCAGUUGUUUCUCUAGUGAGUACAAAUAUGCAGCAGAACAAACAUAUUUCUCUAUGUUUAAUGAAAACCAUGAGCACUCUCACAGAACCUGAACUGUGUAAAACUGGUCAUGUAGGCGAAAGAUCAUGAAAGUUUCUCUGAGCUCCUGUGCCAAAAAUAGUGGACAUUUGCUAUCUAGAAUCAAAGAGCUGCUAUAAAAAGAUGAUUCUAAGCCUGUGGAGUAUCUGUGUCAUUAGUCAGGAGGGUUUAUUUUUGGAAUAAGCGUUGACAAUGCCACUUACAAUCAAGGCAGACAUAAAGCUACUGAACCAUGAGCUCCAGGAGCAGCGUUACACAGAGAACACUGUGACUCUAAUGUGAGGAAAACCAGGGUGCGUUACCAUCUGUGAGCUUUCUAUCUUAGAGAAGAAAUGAUAAUUAUAUUACAGAACCACAUAAUUCUUGCAGAAGUUUCCUAAGCUCUGUGUUUCCCAGAAAACUCAAAGGCCUUAUAUGUGAUGACCCUUUCUCUAGGCCAGAAGGGCAAGAUGCUGUUCAUUGUUUAUCAGCCAGUAGUGGCUGAUUAAGUGUCAGAAGACAUGUUCAUUACCCAAGUGCAGAGCUUGAAGGCUCUCUGCAAUCACAGCAUUUUCUGACCCUCAUGCUCACACUCUGGUACACUUGGGGAUUUUUUAUGAUUGAAGUAGAAAUUUGUAUUUCCAAAAAAAGUUAGUGUCUGUCCAUUUUUCUAGUCCUCAGUACCACUGUAAUUGAGGGCUUUGCAAUCUUGCCCUUAAGAAGCCCUGCAAAUAUUUUCAAGCAGCAAAGCAAGGCAUAGACUUAAUUUGUUCAAGGUCACUGAAGAAAUCUCUGAUGGAACAGAAUUCAAGUUUCCCAAGUGCAGCUGUCCUCAGUGGUACUGUCAUCUUCUGACAAAGGAUAUCUUUUAUUAGAAGACUUUAUUCCAACUGAUAGGCUGAGUCAAUUUAUUUUGCUGCACUUCUGGAGUGGAGCUGUAUCCAAAUGCAGUCUCCUGGCCAGAACUUGCUGCAAAUGGCAAAGCGUCAUACCAGUGUGCUUGUAAAGACAAAACGAUAGAGCAAAGUACAAGCUGGCAGCCUAGCCAGUUGUUCUUCUGGAGCACAGCUGCCUGGUAUAAUGCACAUGUGGCCUAAUGGUACAUGUCUGGGCAGAAAAAGACUCCUGGUGACUCAUAAUUUCUAAUUUACACAGAUGUAGUACAUGGUGGCAUAUAGGCAUUAGUCCUUUUCCUAUUUAAAAUAAAUGAAUUGUCUGGCUUCAAAUUCAAAUUUUUUUUUGAAGCUGAGAAAGUUGUGCAGGUCUCCAUGUGUAAUAGAUAGUUACUGUUACACUGAAUUAUGUAUCUAGAAAGCAGAAUUUAUACAGGUAAUAUGUAAUUCAAAAUAUUUACUAUGCUUAAAUUAAGCAUUUCCCUGCUCACCUUCCUCUGAUCUUGAAGAGCACUGCAGACCACAUCUUUUUCCACUGCUUGCACUGUGGUAUGUCUUAUUUAAUACAUCUCUUCAGGCUAUAUUACUCAGUCCAGCUUAGCAGCAGAAUUUGGAGUCUGCUACUACAUAGACCAUCUGGGAGCUCUGCAAAGAUGGAGAGAGUUCUGCUUCACUUUCUACAGGAUUGAGACUAUAAGGAAAAUGUCAGAAAAAUUACAAAAAACAAGGUGGGGAGGGACUUCCCUCUUUCUCAGUGAUUAUUAGAGAUAGACACAGCACUCCAACCUUCUUCCUUUCUACAGAGUUCUAUUUCCAAGUCACACUUCUGUUUAUGCUUUCUGUUUAUGCACAUUUCUGUUAUUCUUUGAGUUGCAUAAAAUCCU
Long non-coding RNA from Lagopus leucura (white-tailed ptarmigan), 3523 nucleotides. RefSeq lists it as uncharacterized. The record is from RefSeq and is a predicted model, not a curated record. The transcript has 3 exons. Lineage: Eukaryota; Metazoa; Chordata; Aves; Galliformes; Phasianidae.